GACGAACGCUGGCGGCGUGCUUAACACAUGCAAGUCGAACGGAAAGGCCCUGCUUGCAGGGUACUCGAGUGGCGAACGGGUGAGUAACACGUGGGUGAUCUGCCCUGCACUUCGGGAUAAGCCUGUGAAACUGGGUCUAAUACCGGCUAGGAGCCAUUUUUAGUGUGAUGGUUGGAAAGUUUUUUCGGUGUAGGAUGAGCUCGCGGCCUAUCAGCUUGUUGGUGGGGUAAUGGCCUACCAAGGCGGCGACGGGUAGCCGGCCUGAGAGGGUGGACGGCCACAUUGGGACUGAGGUACGGCCCAGACUCCGACGGGAGGCAGCAGGGGGGAAUAUUGCACAAUGGGCGCAAGCCUGAUGCAGAGACGCCGCGUGGGGGAUGACGGCCUUCGGGUUGUAAACUCCUUUCGCUAGGGACGAAGCUUUUUGUGACGGUACCUAGAGAAGAAGCACCGGCUAACUACGUG
This 465-nucleotide ribosomal RNA is filed under the name uncultured bacterium. RNAcentral describes it as "partial 16S ribosomal RNA". It matches the Rfam family "Bacterial small subunit ribosomal RNA", at positions 28 to 507 of the family's 1533-position model. The record is from RNAcentral.